This 191-nucleotide small nuclear RNA is filed under the name Carlito syrichta (Philippine tarsier). RNAcentral's name for it is "U2 spliceosomal RNA (ENSTSYG00000033794.1)". It matches the Rfam family "U2 spliceosomal RNA". From Rfam's summary of the family: U2 is a small nuclear RNA (snRNA) component of the spliceosome (involved in pre-mRNA splicing). Complementary binding between U2 snRNA (in an area lying towards the 5' end but 3' to hairpin I) and the branchpoint sequence (BPS) of the intron results the bulging out of an unpaired adenosine, on the BPS, which initiates a nucleophilic attack at the intronic 5' splice site, thus starting the first of two transesterification reactions that mediate splicing. The record is from Rfam by way of RNAcentral. Lineage: Eukaryota; Metazoa; Chordata; Mammalia; Primates; Tarsiidae.
AUCACUUCUUGGCCUUUUGGCUAAGAUCAAGUGUAGUAUCUAUUCUUAUCAGUUUAAUAUCUGAUAUACCCUGUAUCUGAGGACAAUAUAUUAAAUGGAUUUCUGGAGCAGGGAGAUGGAAAAGGGGCUUAUUCCGUAAACUCCACAUAUUGACCUGGUAUUACAGUACCUCCAGGAAUGGUGCACCAGAA